UACAGAGGUCUCAAGCGUUGUUCGGAAUUACUGGGCGUAAAGGGUGCGCAGGCCGCGCGGGCAGUCAAAUGUGAAAUCCUGGGGCUCAACCUCAGAAUUGCGCUUGAUACUUCCGCGCUAGAACUUUGGAGAGGGAUCUGGAAUUCUCGGUGUAGCAGUGAAAUGCGUGGAUAUCGAGAAGAACACUCAGGGCGUAGGCAAGAUCCUGGACAAAUGUUGACGCUCAUGCACGAAGGCUAGGGUAGCAAACGGG
This 253-nucleotide ribosomal RNA is filed under the name uncultured bacterium. RNAcentral describes it as "partial 16S ribosomal RNA". It matches the Rfam family "Bacterial small subunit ribosomal RNA", at positions 524 to 776 of the family's 1533-position model. The record is from RNAcentral.